RNAcentral lists this ribosomal RNA (330 nucleotides) under uncultured Paenibacillus sp. RNAcentral's name for it is "bacterial SSU rRNA". It matches the Rfam family "Bacterial small subunit ribosomal RNA", at positions 1053 to 1382 of the family's 1533-position model. Lineage: Bacteria; Bacillati; Bacillota; Bacilli; Caryophanales; Paenibacillaceae. The record is from RNAcentral.
CGUCAGCUCGUGUCGUGAGAUGUUGGGUUAAGUCCCGCAACGAGCGCAACCCCUGUGGUUAGUUGCCAGCAAGUAGCGUUGGGCACUCUAGCCAGACUGCCGGUGAUAAAUCGGAGGAAGGUGGGGACGACGUCAAAUCAUCAUGCCCUUUAUGUCCUGGGCUACACACGUACUACAAUGGCCGUUACAACGGGAAGCGAAGGAGCAAUCCGGAGCAAAUCCCUUAAAGGCGGUCCCAGUUCAGAUUGUGGGCUGAAACUCGCCCACAUGAAGGCGGAAUUGCUAGUAAUUGCAGAUCAGCAUGCUGCAGUGAAUACGUUCCCGGGCCUU